AUAUAGGUGGAAGAGAGAGGUCGGUGGGUCGAGGUGCUGCAAAAAUAUAGUAACUGUUUUUACUCCAGAUGCAAAAAUCAGGGACGAGGUAGGGAGGACCGGGUCCGAACGGCUCCGGAACGCACCCCCCCGACCCCCGGCUGGGCUGUGCCGCCUUUCGGCCGGGCUGCGCCGCUCCGCCUACUCUCUGCCGCCGCAGCCGGCCGCCUGCCUCGCUCCUCCCCUGCCCUCAGCGGCACUGCUCCGCGCCCGGCACACAGGCAGCCGCCGCCGGACCUGCUGCUCCCAACAUGGCCGCCACCACCGCCGGCCCUCGGCUCUUUCCGCCGGCGGCAGCCGGAAACAUCCGAAGCGCUUAGGAACGGGAGGGGGGCGCGCCUUCUCCUCUCGGCCGGGGUCUACGGGUCAAUUCCGGAAACAGCCGAAGAAGGCCGUCAACAUGUGUCACCUGACAAACGCAACGUCAGUCUAUUACCUACCUGCCUCCCGCCCACCACCUGCCACGGGCUCUCCUGUCUGUGAAUGGCCGCACCUGGUCCGCAGGUCGGCAAGGGACCAGGUCAGCGUCCGACACACUCCGCUGCGGGAACGCCCAGGGCCUGCCUUGCAGCCCCAGCUCUGCGAUCCUGGGAAACCCACCUGCCAUCUCUGAGCUUAGGCUCCUGUCCCCUCCACCGAACGGAUUUAUCCCAGAGAUGACUUUAAGUGCCCCUGCCAGGUAAGGCAGGAGAGAUCGUCUCAUCUUUUUUUCUUUUAAAAAACAAUGCGCCUUUUCUAGCGGUAAGGUCGACGUGGGACGCCCGCAUCCCGUCCCUGACUGGCCGGGCUCAAGCCCCCGCUACUCUGCUUCCAAUCCAGCUUCCUCCUCAUCCACACCCUGGGAGGCAGCAAGUGAUGGCUCAAACAUCUGUGUCCCUGCCACCCACAUGGGAGACCCCAGGAUUGAGUUCCGGACUCCAGGCUUCUGACUGGCCUAGCCCUGGCUGUUGUAGGGAUUCUCCUCCAUCUCUCUGCCUUUGAAAUAAAAUGAAAAUUAAUUUUUUUUUUAUUUUUGAC
This 1056-nucleotide long non-coding RNA is filed under the name Oryctolagus cuniculus (rabbit). Its description in RNAcentral is "lncRNA (ENSOCUG00000033155.1)". The record is from RNAcentral. Lineage: Eukaryota; Metazoa; Chordata; Mammalia; Lagomorpha; Leporidae.